GUGGGUGUAGCUCAGCGGUAAGAGCGCCAGACUGUGGCUCUGGAUGCCGGGGGUUCAAAUCCCCUCACCCACCCCA
Molecule: transfer RNA, 76 nt
Filed under: bacterium
Lineage: Bacteria
Description: tRNA-His
Rfam family: tRNA
About the family: Transfer RNA (tRNA) molecules are approximately 80 nucleotides in length.
Source: RNAcentral